CAUAUAUGUGCUUAUGUCAAUUCUUUAUUAAAGAUUAACAUUUCUCUCCAGGUGCCGUGUGUUUCAAAUAAGCACUUAAAACAAGAAGCAAUCACUUAUAAGUACUUCACAUAGAUACCUUUGUGUGAGGUGUUUCCAAUGAAAGUAGAUUGUCUCCUGAUAUGUUUUUUAUUCUUCAUUAUAAUUCCAGCACACUGGGGAGCACCUAGACAACGAACGUACGUGGUGUCUGAAUCCGACACAACCUCUGGUGUGACACCCUACAGAACCUACACUGUGUCUGGAACGGACACAACCUCUGAUUCUUUUAAGCUUCCAUUCUUACCCCAUGGAACCAGUACACCUCGUGGUCCUGCUCCAGCUGCACACUGGGGAGCACCUAGACAACGAACGUACGUGGUGUCUGAAUCCGACACAACCUCUGGUGUGACACCCUACAGAACCUACACUAUGUCUGGAACGGACACAACCUCUGGUGUGACACCCUACAGAACCUACACUAUGUCUGGAAUGGACACAACCUCUGGUGUGACACCCUACAGAACCUACACUGUGUCUGGAACGGACACAACCUCUGAUUCUUUUAAGCUUCCAUUCUUACCCCAUGGAACCAGUACACCUCGUGGUCCUGCUCCAGCUGCACACUGGGGAGCACCUAGACAACGAACGUACGUGGUGUCUGAAUCCGACACAACCUCUGGUGUGACACCCUACAGAACCUACACUGUGUCUGGAACGGACACAACCUCUGGUGUGA
This 757-nucleotide long non-coding RNA is filed under the name Cyanistes caeruleus (blue tit). RNAcentral describes it as "lncRNA (ENSCCEG00000019455.1)". Lineage: Eukaryota; Metazoa; Chordata; Aves; Passeriformes; Paridae. The record is from RNAcentral.